GACGAACGCUGGCGGCGUGCUUAACACAUGCAAGUCGAACGGAAAGGCCCUGCUUUUGUGGGGUGCUCGAGUGGCGAACGGGUGAGUAACACGUGAGUAACCUGCCCUUGACUUUGGGAUAACUUCAGGAAACUGGGGCUAAUACCGGAUAGGAGCUCCUGCUGCAUGGGGGGGGUUGGAAAGUUUCGGCGGUUGGGGAUGGACUCGCGGCUUAUCAGCUUGUUGGUGGGGUAGUGGUUUACCAAGGCUUUGACGGGUAGCCGGCCUGAGAGGGUGACCGGCCACAUUGGGACUGCGAUACGGCCCAGACUCCUACGGGAGGCAGCAGUGGGGAAUAUUGCACUAUGGGCGGAAGCCUGAUGCAGCAACGCCGCGCGUGGGAUGACGGCCUUCGGGUUGUAAACCGCUUUCGCCUGUGACGAAGCGUGAGUGACGGUAAUGGGUAAAGAAGCACCGGCUAACUACGUG
RNAcentral lists this ribosomal RNA (468 nucleotides) under uncultured bacterium. Its description in RNAcentral is "partial 16S ribosomal RNA". It matches the Rfam family "Bacterial small subunit ribosomal RNA", at positions 28 to 507 of the family's 1533-position model. The record is from RNAcentral.